This is a long non-coding RNA of Betta splendens (Siamese fighting fish), 584 nucleotides long. RefSeq lists it as uncharacterized. Lineage: Eukaryota; Metazoa; Chordata; Actinopteri; Anabantiformes; Osphronemidae. The transcript is spliced from 3 exons. The record is from RefSeq and is a predicted model, not a curated record.
UCGACUCAGGGACAAAAGUUAUUUUAGCCCGCACCGCCGAAGCCGACGGGCUGAACGAUCACGGCGGCGGUGCCAAGGGCUCGGCUAACGCGCAUAUCUGGGAAAACAAGAGAUGUCAGACGAAGAACUGAAAGGAAUGAGAGAGCAGAUCAGUGACACAGCGAUUGAAAAAUGCCACAAAGCACCGGGACAGAAACACUGUCUGCCACCUGCCUCUAAAUCACUUUUUUUCAUUCCAGAAGCUGGGGAGCAGGGAACUGUAUGCAGAGGAGGCUGCCCUCGCUCUGCGAGUCCUUUGUCUCCUAAUAUCUCCAGGCUCCGCCCCUCUCUCAGCCAGCCCUCCAAUGGGAGAGCCUUCAGGUGUUGACCUUAUCAGGUGGAGGUCAAAGCCAGGUCAGGGAUCUGUUGCUAGGCUACCAUCAGAUAAGUGGCUGGGGUAGGCAGCGGUGGGUAGCGCUGUCAUUCAGGGUUUGUCAUGUAAUCUUGUUCAUUUGCAGACAAUUGUUUGGACGUCAGAAAGGCUAUCUGGCCCAUACUGUUGUAAUGAAACACAUUAAAAUAUUAAAACCAGCCAUGCUGAGCAU